This 496-nucleotide ribosomal RNA is filed under the name uncultured bacterium. RNAcentral describes it as "partial 16S ribosomal RNA". It matches the Rfam family "Bacterial small subunit ribosomal RNA", at positions 28 to 506 of the family's 1533-position model. The record is from RNAcentral.
GAUGAACGCUGGCGGCGUGCCUAAUACAUGCAAGUCGAGCGAACAGACGAGGAGCUUGCUCCUCUGACGUUAGCGGCGGACGGGUGAGUAACACGUGGAUAACCUACCUAUAAGACUGGGAUAACUUCGGGAAACCGGAGCUAAUACCGGAUAAUAUAUUGAACCGCAUGGUUCAAUAGUGAAAGACGGUUUUGCUGUCACUUAUAGAUGGAUCCGCGCCGCAUUAGCUAGUUGGUAAGGUAACGGCUUACCAAGGCAACGAUGCGUAGCCGACCUGAGAGGGUGAUAGGCCACACUGGAACUGAGACACGGUCAAGACUCCGACGGGAGGCAGCAGUAGGGAAUCGUCCGCAAUGGGCGAAAGCCUGACGGAGCAACGCCGCGUGAGUGAUGAAGGUCUUCGGAUCGUAAAACUCUGUUAUUAGGGAAGAACAAAUGUGUAAGUAACUAUGCACGUCUUGACGGUACCUAAUCAGAAAGCCACGGCUAACUACGU